This 491-nucleotide ribosomal RNA is filed under the name uncultured bacterium. Its description in RNAcentral is "partial 16S ribosomal RNA". It matches the Rfam family "Bacterial small subunit ribosomal RNA", at positions 29 to 506 of the family's 1533-position model. The record is from RNAcentral.
AGUGAACGCUGGCGGUAGGCCUAACACAUGCAAGUCGAACGGCAGCACAGUAAGAGCUUGCUCUUACGGGUGGCGAGUGGCGGACGGGUGAGGAAUACAUCGGAAUCUACUUUUUCGUGGGGGAUAACGUAGGGAAACUUACGCUAAUACCGCAUACGACCUACGGGUGAAAGCAGGGGAUCUUCGGACCUUGCGCGAUUGAAUGAGCCGAGGUCGGAUUAGCUAGUUGGCGGGGUAAAGGCCCACCAGGGCGAGGAUCCGUAGCUGGUCUGGGAGGAGGAUCAGCCACGCUGGAACUGAGACACGGUCCAGACCCCAACGGGGGGCAGGAGUGGGGAAUGUUGGACAAGGGGGGCAAGCCUGAUCAAGCCAUACCGCGUGGGUGAAGAAGGCCUUCGGGUUGUAAAGCCCUUUUGUUGGGAAAGAAAAGCAGCAGGUUAAGACCCCGCUGUUCUGACGGUACCCAAAGAAUAAGCACCGGCUACCUUCGU